This 285-nucleotide ribosomal RNA is filed under the name Escherichia coli. Its description in RNAcentral is "partial 16S ribosomal RNA". It matches the Rfam family "Bacterial small subunit ribosomal RNA", at positions 1249 to 1533 of the family's 1533-position model. Lineage: Bacteria; Pseudomonadati; Pseudomonadota; Gammaproteobacteria; Enterobacterales; Enterobacteriaceae. The record is from RNAcentral.
GCUACCUCGCGAGAGGACGCCAAUCUCUUAAAACCAAUCUCAGUUCGGAUUGUAGGCUGCAACUCGCCUACAUGAAGUCGGAAUCGCUAGUAAUCGCGGAUCAGCAUGCCGCGGUGAAUACGUUCCCGGGCCUUGUACACACCGCCCGUCACACCACGGGAGUUUGCAACACCCGAAGUCGGUGAGGUAACCGCAAGGAGCCAGCCGCCGAAGGUGGGGUAGAUGACUGGGGUGAAGUCGUAACAAGGUAUCCGUACCGGAAGGUGCGGAUGGAUCACCUCCUUU